RNAcentral lists this long non-coding RNA (1453 nucleotides) under Malus domestica (apple). RNAcentral's name for it is "long non-coding RNA (MDOM_LNC003710)". The record is from RNAcentral. Lineage: Eukaryota; Viridiplantae; Streptophyta; Magnoliopsida; Rosales; Rosaceae.
AGAAAUAGCCGAACAUUGAGAAAGUUGCUUUUGAGGCACUAUGAUGGCCUUUCAUUUUCAAGGUUUUUGUAGUGCAGAAAAAAGGUAGAAUGACCAAGAAAAAAUAUAUAUGAUUACUAAUUGUUUGAAGAAUUAAACCAAUAAGCACAUUCCUAUUUUUAUUUGAGCAAUGGAGUUCUCAACUAAUGAAGUGAUUCUUGAUAAGGACCUUAGAAAUAUGAUCGGCAGCUUAUGUUUACGUGUUUGAAUAUGUAUGGUUAUAGGGGUCACUCAUGGUAACCCAUAUAUGUCCAUGAAGUAAAAAUAGAAAAAGUGUUACUUAUACUCAUCUUGUGAAACUGGUUACCAAUUUAAGUUAAAAUUGAAAUUUUCAUCUAAGUUUCAUCUUAAAGUUCACAUUGAACUCACAUUCAUAGUUGAUAAUUCAUCUUGUGAGUAUUUUUUUUCCCUCUCAGAAUUUAGAGAAAAUCAAGAUUUUGAUAACAUUUUGGACUACACCACGUGAGUAUAAUUUCCCACAUUUUUCACUACAUUGGUUACCUUGGGACAUCCCUACGACCACAUGCAUGAUAUGUAUAAUUUGGCCUUUUAUGUUUAUAUAGUCAAAGCAAUGACAUACGCUAUCUUAAGUCAAACACUAAUCAUCCAAUAUUUUUAAGCAGGAUUAUGUAAUUUGUAAGUAAAUCUCAUAAAUUUCCUGCGUUUGCUUAGCUUUUCAAGCUUUGUUGGUUUUCUUUUAACCAUUACUUUAAUCAUGUGCUUGCUCUACAUUGACUAAUACUCGCAUGUCAUGCCUCCAAAUCGAUCAUCCCAUAUAAUACACUUCUUAAGGGUUCACGUCUUUUAGCACUCCAUGUCACACUGAUAUCAUCUUCAAUUUAAUCAGAGUCACAAUUAGAGUAUGAUAGCUUAACUUAAAAGUCCCAGUGCAACUUAUGUAUAUACCUUAAUGUUGAAUAAUCACUAACGGGAUGUGGGGGCAAUUGUAUUUGAUCUAUAUUAUUCUUAAAAAGUUACAUUCCACUACUUUUAAUCAAUUUAUUAGAGUAUAUUACAUGGCACAUAACAUACAUAAUCCACAAUAUGUUUAUGUUUUUGCAUAUAAAAACUAUCCAAAUGUUUAUAAAUAACAUAAGCAAUAAAUCCUAAGUAGCUAAUCUGCCAAUAGAUCAAUAAUAGACAAAGAACGGUCAAAUAUAUAACAUUUUUCUUGAUAUAUAUAUAAGAGAGAGAGAGAGAGAAAUUAAGUUAUCCAAAACUAAACUAAAAGACCAAAUCUAGUAAACCUAUUUGAAUAUAUAGCUAGGGUAUAGCAUUCGAGACAACAGCACAUAUGGAGGGACAGGGUGUGAAGGGUAAGGGUUGGUUGGUGUAGGGAAACAAAUAGCAAAAUAGCAAAAAUAUAGGUUUUAGCUAUAGGCAGCAUGGUUUGACCGCAUAAUCCAGAGUGUUG